RNAcentral lists this ribosomal RNA (253 nucleotides) under uncultured bacterium. RNAcentral's name for it is "partial 16S ribosomal RNA". It matches the Rfam family "Bacterial small subunit ribosomal RNA", at positions 524 to 776 of the family's 1533-position model. The record is from RNAcentral.
GACGAACCGUGCGAACGUUGUUCGGAAUCACUGGGCUUAAAGGGCGCGUAGGCGGGCUUACAAGUCCGGGGUGAAAGCCCCCAGCUCAACUGGGGAAGUGCCUUGGAUACUGUAAGCCUCGAGGGGGGUAGGGGCGUGCGGAACUUCCGGUGGAGCGGUGAAAUGCGUAGAUAUCGGAAGGAACACCGGUGGCGAAGGCGCUCUGCUAGGCCGCAACUGACACUGAGGGACGAAAGCUAGGGGAGCGAAUGGG